AGAGUUUGAUCCUGGCUCAGGAUGAACGCUGGCGGCGUGCUUAACACAUGCAAGUCGAACGAGGUCCAACCUUCGGGUGAAGACCGAGUGGCGAACGGGUGAGUAACACGUGGGGAACCUGCCCUUCUCUCUGGGAUAACCUCGGGAAACCGAAGCUAAUACCGGAUACUCCUUGCGGACCGCAUGGUCUGCUCGGGAAAGCUCCGGCGGAGAAGGAUGGCCCCGCGGCCCAUUAGCUUGUUGGUGGGGCAACGGCCCACCAAGGCGACGAUGGGUAGCCGAGCUGAGAGGCUGAUCGGCCACACUGGGACUGAGACACGGCCCAGACUCCUACGGGAGGCAGCAGUGGGGAAUCUUGCGCAAUGGGCGAAAGCCUGACGCAGCAACGCCGCGUGCGGGAUGAAGGCUCUCGGGUCGUAAACCGCUUUCAGCAGGGAUGAAAAUGACAGUACCUGCAGAAGAAGCCCCGGCUAAAUACGUGCCAGCAGCCGCGGUAAUACGUAUGGGGCAAGCGUUAUCCGGAUUCAUUGGGCGUAAAGCGCGCGUAGGCGGCUUGUUAAGUCAGGCGUGAAAUCCGGGGGCUCAACCCGCGGCUUGCGUCUGAAACUGGCAGGCUUGAGUCUGGUAGAGGAAAGUGGAACUCCUGGUGUAGCGGUGAAAUGCGCAGAUAUCAGGAGGAACACCAGUGGCGAAGGCGGCUUUCUGGGCCACGACUGACGCCGAGGCGCGAAAGCUAGGGGAGCGAACAGGAUUAGAUACCCUGGUAGUC
This 769-nucleotide ribosomal RNA is filed under the name uncultured Actinomycetes bacterium. RNAcentral describes it as "bacterial SSU rRNA". It matches the Rfam family "Bacterial small subunit ribosomal RNA", at positions 8 to 795 of the family's 1533-position model. Lineage: Bacteria; Bacillati; Actinomycetota; Actinomycetes. The record is from RNAcentral.